This 465-nucleotide ribosomal RNA is filed under the name uncultured bacterium. RNAcentral describes it as "partial 16S ribosomal RNA". It matches the Rfam family "Bacterial small subunit ribosomal RNA", at positions 29 to 507 of the family's 1533-position model. The record is from RNAcentral.
ACGAACGCUGGCGGCGCGCCUCACACAUGCAAGUCGAACGAGCGAGAGAGAGCUUGCUUUCUCGAGCGAGUGGCGAACGGGUGAGUAACGCGUGAGGAACCUGCCUCAAAGAGGGGGACAACAGUUGGAAACGAUUGCUAAUACCGCAUAAGCCCACGGCUCGGCAUCGAGCAGGGGGAAAAGGAGCAAUCCGCUUUGAGAUGGCCUCGCGUCCGAUUAGCUAGUUGGUGGGGUAACGGCCCACCAAGGCGACGAUCGGUAGCCGGACUGAGAGGUUGAACGGCCACAUUGGGACUGAGACACGGCCCAGACUCCUACGGGAGGCAGCAGUGGGGAAUAUUGCACAAUGGGGGAAACCCUGAUGCAGCGACGCCGCGUGGAGGAAGAAGGUCUUCGGAUUGUAAACUCCUGUUGUUGGGGAAGAUAAUGACGGUACCCAACAAGGAAGUGACGGCUAACUACGUG